UAGGGAAUCUUCGGCAAUGGGGGCAACCCUGACCGAGCAACGCCGCGUGAGUGAAGAAGGUUUUCGGAUCGUAAAGCUCUGUUGUAAGAGAAGAACGUGUGUGAGAGUGGAAAGUUCACACAGUGACGGUAACUUACCAGAAAGGGACGGCUAACUACGUGCCGG
RNAcentral lists this ribosomal RNA (165 nucleotides) under uncultured bacterium. Its description in RNAcentral is "partial 16S rRNA". It matches the Rfam family "Bacterial small subunit ribosomal RNA", at positions 355 to 511 of the family's 1533-position model. The record is from RNAcentral.